This is a long non-coding RNA of Magnolia sinica, 1146 nucleotides long. RefSeq lists it as uncharacterized. Lineage: Eukaryota; Viridiplantae; Streptophyta; Magnoliopsida; Magnoliales; Magnoliaceae. The transcript is spliced from 3 exons. The record is from RefSeq and is a predicted model, not a curated record.
CGGCACUUUGGGCACGUUUGUGGGGAUGGACUGUUUAGGAUGUCAAAUUGCAGCUACAUUUCUUUCUAGUCCCACUUGAAAGUAUGUAAUUGCAAUUUAGAGAGCACAGCCUCAAUAUGAAUGCCAAGGAAAUUACAAUUCGCUUAUUUCCACUAAUAAAAAUUGCAUCGGAUGGUGCAUCCAAGCGCAACCUUAAGGUGCCCAAUGACUUGUGGACUUGUUGAGAAAUUCGUUCCGAUCUGUAAAUUUAUUCAAUGUUUUGUCAUUUUUUGGUGUUGGGUGACAGGUGAACUUGCUAUUGAGUAAAUGGAUGAAGGAUCCCGAGAAGAUAUUCUAUGGAAACAUUGUUGCAUAUAUGAUGCCGCAAUGCUUCCUGAAGUUAAAAAGGACGAGCUUUCAAAUGUGAUUUGGAGGAAUGUUUUCUCUGAUGAUAGUUCCGGGAUGCCAAAUACUGCUGCACUCAGUGCAGUCCAGGCAUGUUCUUUUCAUCCUCUUUAUUCUUCACUUAAAUAAGGCCAUGUAUUCUAAUCGUGGUUUGAUUGCUUUCGUGGCAUCUUAUGCAUGUUAAAUGUACCAAAUGAAGACCAUUCAUUCGUGAUGAUGCCUCCUCAAUGUAACUGACCGUGUAGACUAGCAUGGCCCUAAUAAGAAGCUUGGGCUUUUUAAAAAAUAAAAAUAUUCUUUUCUUUUUCUUCUUCUUUUUUCAUUUCCUGACCACAGCAGCUUCUAAUGAAUCCAUGUAUAGAAACUACAAUACUCAGAUACUUGUGUUGGAUCAAGCUAUCUAUAUCAAACUCAAUUAGGACUCAACAGAUACUUGCGUUGGAUCAAGCUAUCUAUAUCUAUAUCCAACUCUGAGGCCAGAUUUUAAUCAAUUGUGCCUAAAUUUAGGCCUACAAGCACUUCAGCCUUUUGACACCACUAGUGCUAGGAGUAGACCAUAUAGAGGAUUUGUUUUUUUAUUUAUUUUUAUUCAAGACCAUUUUCAAUUUAUUGUAACAAAUAUUAUAUAUUUUUAUUAUGUAGUAAUAUAAAUUUUGUUUAAUAUUAGUUUUAAUUGUAUUGCAUCAUUUUUUAUGUUUCAAAUAUUAAAAAACUACAUGUUUCAAUUGAAUUAUAUAUAAUAAUAAUAAAUUACUGGCCUGC